UCCUUUGUGAUGAACACCUUAUUUAAGCCAAACAGUUAUCCCUGUCAUAAAAACACUUGAUGAUACAAUAUGCUGACAUAUAU
This is a small nucleolar RNA of Drosophila rhopaloa, 83 nucleotides long. RefSeq annotates it as small nucleolar RNA R38. The transcript has a single exon. Lineage: Eukaryota; Metazoa; Arthropoda; Insecta; Diptera; Drosophilidae. The record is from RefSeq and is a predicted model, not a curated record.